GGAAGGCAAAAUGUUGCCACACUGGUGACUUCAGCAAACCAAGAGGAUUUUCCACUCCAGCAGUGGCCACAGUGUCUUGAAAAGUAAUGCAGCUGCAGACUACCGGCUAAACAACAGAGUACAGAGCAGAAAGCAUGGGGAUACAGUGGCAGCCAGUUCCACUUCCUUCCACAACAAGGAUCUGAUGGACUAUAGCCUCUUCACCUGUCUAGAGAGGAAUUUGCAGUGGUAUAAAGAGGACAAAGACUCAAUAAAACUCAACAGUUUGAAUCUCCUGAAACCUGAAUUCAGCCUCAAGCUUCUCUUUAAGCUACUUCAAAGUUAGAUAAAGCCCAUUUUGGCCACAUUUUCAGUGCAAACUUAAUUUUUGAAAUGUUGUUAAGGACAAGUAUAAAUGGUGUUGUAUUUCAGUUGGUGUAUAUGUCAUUAGAUAUCAUACAUCUGAAAAUUUGGAACAUAUGGAAAUGCACAAGACAUAUACUACAUACAUCAACCACAAAUGUAUGAAAAAUGUAUUAUUCUGUGUUACUUAAUGGAUUCAGCUCUGACCCAAACAGAAACAUCUGAUUGUGAAUGCUGAGCACUUUCAAAGCAGGUGACGCAAGGAUGUAUGUGGAAUAUCCUACAGGUGGCCACUCACAAAUUCAACAUGUGAGAUGGACUUAACCUUUUAC
This is a long non-coding RNA of Thunnus maccoyii (southern bluefin tuna), 674 nucleotides long. RefSeq lists it as uncharacterized. The transcript has 3 exons. NCBI's taxonomy places the organism in Eukaryota, Metazoa, Chordata, Actinopteri, Scombriformes, Scombridae. The record is from RefSeq and is a predicted model, not a curated record.